RNAcentral lists this ribosomal RNA (465 nucleotides) under uncultured bacterium. Its description in RNAcentral is "partial 16S ribosomal RNA". It matches the Rfam family "Bacterial small subunit ribosomal RNA", at positions 338 to 795 of the family's 1533-position model. The record is from RNAcentral.
CCUACGUGGAGCAGCAGUGGGGAAUAUUGCGCAAUGGGCGAAAGCCUGACGCAGCGACGCCGCGUGAGGGAUGAAGGUCUUCGGAUCGUAAACCUCUGUCAGCAGGGAAGAACGGUCACUGUGCUAAUCAGCAGUGAAUUGACGGUACCUGCAAAGGAAGCACCGGCUAACUCCGUGCCAGCAGCCGCGGUAAUACGGAGGGUGCGAGCGUUAAUCGGAAUUACUGGGCGUAAAGCGCUCGUAGGCGGUAUGUCAAGUCAAGGGUGAAAUCCCCGCGCGCAACGUGGGAACUGCCUUUGAAACUGGCAAACUGGAGUGUGUGAGAGGAUAGUGGAAUUCCAGGUGUAGGAGUGAAAUCCGUAGAUAUCUGGAGGAACAUCAGUGGCGAAGGCGACUAUCUGGCACAUAACUGACGCUGAGGAGCGAAAGCGUGGGUAGCAAACAGGAUUAGAUACCCCAGUAGUC